Molecule: ribosomal RNA, 429 nt
Filed under: Bacteroidota bacterium
Lineage: Bacteria; Pseudomonadati; Bacteroidota
Description: Bacteroidetes bacterium partial 16S ribosomal RNA
Rfam family: Bacterial small subunit ribosomal RNA
Source: RNAcentral
UAGGGAAUCUUCCGCAAUUGACGCAAGUCUGACGGAGCAACGCCGCGUGAGUGAAGAAGGAUUUCGGUUCGUAAAACUCUGUUGUUAGAGAAGAACAGCGCAUAGAGUAACUGUUAUGCGUGUGACGGUAUCUAACCAGAAAGCCACGGCUAACUACGUGCCAGCAGCCGCGGUAAUACGUAGGUGGCAAGCGUUGUCCGGAUUUAUUGGGCGUAAAGCGAGCGCAGGCGGUCAAUUAAGUCUGAUGUGAAAGCCCCCGGCUCAACCGGGGAGGGUCAUUGGAAACUGGUUGACUUGAGUGCAGAAGAGGAGAGUGGAAUUCCAUGUGUAGCGGUGAAAUGCGUAGAUAUAUGGAGGAACACCAGUGGCGAAGGCGACUCUCUGGUCUGUAACUGACGCUGAGGCUCGAAAGCGUGGGUAGCAAACAGG